RNAcentral lists this small nuclear RNA (24 nucleotides) under Arabidopsis thaliana (thale cress). RNAcentral describes it as "snRNA_12097". The record is from RNAcentral. Lineage: Eukaryota; Viridiplantae; Streptophyta; Magnoliopsida; Brassicales; Brassicaceae.
UUUCUUCUCUUUAAUAAUGAUUAG